This 440-nucleotide ribosomal RNA is filed under the name uncultured bacterium. RNAcentral's name for it is "partial 16S ribosomal RNA". It matches the Rfam family "Bacterial small subunit ribosomal RNA", at positions 338 to 795 of the family's 1533-position model. The record is from RNAcentral.
CCUACGGGAGGCAGCAGUGGGGGAUAUUGCACAAUGGGGGGAACCCUGAUGCAGCGACGCCGCGUGGGUGAAGAAGCGCCUCGGCGCGUAAAGCCCUGUCAGCAGGGAAGAAAAUGACGGUACCUGAAGAAGAAGCCCCGGCUAACUACGUGCCAGCAGCCGCGGUAAUACGUAGGGGGCAAGCGUUAUCCAGAUGUACUGGGUGUAAAGGGGGCGCAGACGGCGAUGCAAGCCAGGCGUGAAAGCCCGGGGCUCAACCCCGGGACUGCUCUUGGAACUGCGUGGCUGGAGUGCAGGAGGGGCAGGCGGAAUUCCUGGUGUAGCGGUGAAAUGCGUAGAUAUCAGGAGGAACACCGGUGGCGAAGGCGGCCUGCUGGACUGCAACUGACGUUGAGGCCCGAAAGCGUGGGGAGCAAACAGGAUUAGAUACCCCUGUAGUC